RNAcentral lists this ribosomal RNA (433 nucleotides) under uncultured bacterium. RNAcentral describes it as "partial 16S ribosomal RNA". It matches the Rfam family "Bacterial small subunit ribosomal RNA", at positions 29 to 507 of the family's 1533-position model. The record is from RNAcentral.
AACGAACGCUGGCGGCAUGCCUAACACAUGCAAGUCGAACGAGACCUUCGGGUCUAGUGGCGCACGGGUGCGGAACGCGUGGGAACCUGCCCUUAGGUUCGGAAUAACUCCCCGAAAGGGGUGCUAAUACCGGAUAAUGUCUUCGGGCCAAAGAUUUAUCGCCUUUGGAUGGGCCCUCGUUGGAUUCGGUGGUUGGUAGGGUAAAAGCCUACCAAGGCGACGAUCCAUGGCUGGUCGGAGAGGAGGAUCAACCACACUGGGACUGAGACACGGCCCAGACUCCUACGGGAGGCAGCAGUAGAGAAUAUUGGACGAUGGGCGCAAGCCUGAUCCAGCAAUGCCGCGUGAGUGAUGAAGGCCUUAGGGUUGUAAAGCUCUUUUACCCGGGAUGAGAAUGACAGUACCGGGAGAAUAAGCUCCGGCUAACUCCGUG